GACCCGGGUGUGUGCUUGCCAGCAACCCCCAAUUUUUUCAGGUUGACCUCGGAUCAGGUAGGGAUACCCGCUGAACUUAAGCAUAUCAAUAAGCGGAGGAAAAGAAACCAACAGGGAUUACCUCAGUAACGGCGAGUGAAGCGGUAACAGCUCAAAUUUGAAAUCUGGCCGCAAGGUCCGAGUUGUAAUUUGUAGAGGAUGUUUCGAGCAUGGUCUGGCCUAAGUUCCUUGGAACAGGACGUCAUAGAGGGUGAGAAUCCCGUAUGCGGUCAGGUGCCUACGCUCAUGUGAAACUCCUUCGACGAGUCGAGUUGUUUGGGAAUGCAGCUCAAAAUGGGUGGUAAAUUUCAUCUAAAGCUAAAUAUUGGCCAGAGACCGAUAGCGCACAAGUAGAGUGAUCGAAAGAUGAAAAGCACUUUGGAAAGAGAGUUAAACAGUACGUGAAAUUGUUGAAAGGGAAGCGCUUGCAACCAGACUUGCGCGCGGCUGAUCAUCCGGGCUUCUGCCCGGUGCACUCGGUCGCGCUCAGGCCAGCAUCGGUUUUGGUGGCGGGAUAAAGGCCUUGGGAAUGUAGCUCCUCUCGGGGAG
This 588-nucleotide ribosomal RNA is filed under the name [Candida] sp. 'davisiana'. Its description in RNAcentral is "eukaryotic LSU rRNA". It matches the Rfam family "Eukaryotic large subunit ribosomal RNA", at positions 1 to 553 of the family's 3401-position model. Lineage: Eukaryota; Fungi; Ascomycota; Saccharomycetes; Saccharomycetales. The record is from RNAcentral.